Molecule: ribosomal RNA, 253 nt
Filed under: uncultured bacterium
Lineage: Bacteria
Description: partial 16S ribosomal RNA
Rfam family: Bacterial small subunit ribosomal RNA
Source: RNAcentral
UACGUAGGGUGCGAGCGUUAAUCGGAAUUACUGGGCGCAAAGCGUGCGCAGGCGGUUCGUUGAGUCGGGGGUGAAAGCCCCGGGCUUAACCUGGGAAUGGCCAUGGAAACUGGCGAACUGGAGUGUGGCAGAGGGGGGUGGAAUUCCGCGUGUAGCAGUGAAAUGCGUAGAGAUCCGGAGGAACACCAGUGGCGAAGGCGACACGCUGGGCCGUACCUGACACUGAUGCGCGACAGCAUGGGGAGCAAACAGG